Molecule: ribosomal RNA, 861 nt
Filed under: Triticum aestivum (bread wheat)
Lineage: Eukaryota; Viridiplantae; Streptophyta; Magnoliopsida; Poales; Poaceae
Description: partial small subunit ribosomal RNA
Source: RNAcentral
AUGGGCAAAGAGGUCGACGUGGGUGCCCUCGAGGCCGGCGGCGCCCGGGACUACUCCGACCCUCCACCGGCGCCGCUGGUGGACGUCGAUGAGCUCGGCAAGUGGUCCCUGUACCGCGCGGUGAUCGCGGAAUUCGUGGCCACGCUGCUCUUCCUCUACAUCACGGUGUCCACCGUCAUCGGGUACAAGCACCAGACGGACGCGUCGGCCUCCGGCCCCGACGCGGCGUGCGGCGGGGUGGGUAUCCUCGGCAUCGCGUGGGCGUUCGGGGGCAUGAUCUUCGUCCUCGUCUACUGCACCGCCGGCAUCUCCGGCGGGCACAUCAACCCGGCCGUGACGUUCGGCCUCUUCCUGGCGCGCAGGGUGUCCCUGGUGCGCGCGCUGCUCUACAUGGCCGCGCAGUGCCUCGGCGCCGUCUGCGGCGUCGGGCUCGUCAAGGGGUUCCAGAGCGGGCUCUACGCGCGCCACGGCGGCGGCGCGAACGAGGUCGGCGCCGGAUACUCGGUCGGUACGGGGCUCGCCGCGGAGAUAGUCGGCACCUUCGUGCUCGUCUACACCGUCUUCUCCGCCACUGAUUCCAAGCGCAACGCUCGUGACUCCCACGUCCCGGUGUUGGCGCCUCUGCCGAUCGGGUUCGCGGUGUUCAUGGUGCACCUGGCCACCAUCCCGAUCACCGGGACGGGGAUCAACCCGGCGAGGAGUCUCGGCGCCGCCGUCAUCUACAACGGCGACAAAGCCUGGAGCGAUCAGUGGAUCUUCUGGGUGGGGCCGUUCAUCGGCGCGGCGAUCGCAGCGCUCUACCACCAGACCAUCCUCCGCGCCAGCGCCAGGGGCUAUGGCUCCUUCCGUAGCAACGCCUAG